Molecule: ribosomal RNA, 253 nt
Filed under: uncultured bacterium
Lineage: Bacteria
Description: partial 16S ribosomal RNA
Rfam family: Bacterial small subunit ribosomal RNA
Source: RNAcentral
UACGGAGGGGACUAGCGUUGUUCGGAAUUACUGGGCGUAAAGCGCACGUAGGCGGAUUUGUAAGUCAGGGGUGAAAUCCCGGGGCUCAACCUCGGAACUGCCUUUGAUACUGCAAAUCUCGAGUCCGGAAGAGGUGAGUGGAAUUCCUAGUGUAGAGGUGAAAUUCGUAGAUAUUCGGAGGAACACCGGUGGCGAAGGCGGUUCUCUGGGCCUUACCUGACGCUGAGGAGCGAAAGCGUGGGGAGCGAACAGG